UAGCAGUAGUGUAGAGCGGGAGAAAGGAAAGGCCUGACUCAUGCCCUCAUUCAGAGGUCAAGCAGAGGAUAAGGAGCCAGCAAAGGAAACUAAGUCUGGGCUGCCAGUGAGGUCGGAGCAAAACCAGAAAGCAGCUGCCAUGGAAAAGAUAAGAAAAAUUGUUUCAAGAAGGAGGGUGGUCAGCCAUAUCCAACACUGCUGAGAGGGCCAGGAAGAUGAAGACAAAAUACUGACCAUUAGAUUUGAAAACCCAAAAGUCAUUGGUGACCUUGACAAGGACCAUUUUGGUGGAAAAGUAGAAUCAGGAGUCAACUAGGAGAGAAUGUGAGGUCAAGAAGCAGGGAGAGUAUCUACAGACAACAACAUCAAGACAAUCUGCUGUGAAGAUGAGCAGAGAAAUGAGCCAGAAACACAAAUGGAAUGCGGAACAAAGACAGGGUCUCACUCUCUUUCCCUGGCUGGAGUGCAUGGGUGUGAUCAUGGUUCACUUCAGCCUCAACCUCCUGGCCUCAAGCGAUCCUCCCACCUCAACUUCCCUAGUAACUGGAACUACAAAUGGACACCACCAUGCCCAGGUGACCAGCUCUGUGUUGACUUUCAAUACACUAAGCAUUCCAUCACCUGUUUUAUCUAGAGUUUAUCUCAACUAGUGAGUGUCUUAUUCUGAUGAUAAUAUUUUUACUUUUAAGAUUUAUUUCUAAUUUUGGAACUGAUUCUUUUUCAUAUUCAAAUGGUUUUGUUUCUGCCUAUUCUUCUUGUAAAAUAUCUUAAAUUUUGAUGGCUAUUAUUUUCCCCCUAAUUAACGUGUAAGCCUUCCCAAAAUACUUAUAUAAACAGUACCAGCUAUAAUAAAAAGUUAAUUUUAUUUGAAUUAGUUAAUUUUCUGAUUGUUGGUUUUGUUGGCUAUCUUCCUUAGCCUUUAGUUUCUUCAUAUGGUUUGAAAUUUAGCUUUUGAGGCUUAUUUAAGUGAGAGAAUUUUUGUGAUUGCUUUGUCUUCACGCCCCUUCUCUGACUUUACCCAUCUCUGUGUUUUCCUGCAUCUGGCCUCCUAUAGCCACUGUCCAGAACCUGGUUUGAUCAAAGCAGUUUGAGGUCAUUGCCCCUUGAUGAUGACAGAUACCCCCAAAUCACCCAAAGAGCAGCUUGAUUUGGUUCAGGAUCACAAGGCUCUGUCUUAGACCCCAAUCUUCCCUAAGUUUGCAGAUCCUUUUAAGCUAUAGCCCUAACAGCAGCAAGUGGUAUGUUUUUUUCUAUUCUUCUUUUACAACUAGGUGUUGGAGUAGAGAGACCCACAGCCUUGCCUUUGGUUUCAAGCAGUAAGCCUAGAUCCAACCUCCCUUCCUCCCAGUAAGUGUUUUUAGUCCCGGUUGGAGCCUAAUUCUCAGCCAACACUAUUUGCUCCUCAACCUGGGGCUAACCAGGCCUGGGUUUCAUUUAGCUCUGCUCACCACCUUAGGUAGCUGCUCUAUUACUUGUCUUGUUUCUGGGAUUCGCUAUGUCUUUUCGGUUUUGUCCUUUAUAGUUUAUAUACAGUUAUUAUGUGUAUACACAUAAUUGUUAUGAAGGUAGGUCAAAGCAUAGACUUCCUCUGAAGUCUUGGCCUGUGGACCCACCCUCACGUUUACAACUUACCACAAAGUAUACAUCACAAGGGCAGGGCCCCUAGCUGGCUAAUUCCAGUACUGUAUCUUUCAUAAUAGGUGCCAAAUAAAAGUGUGCUGAAUAUAUAAAUGAAUACAAAUCAUUUUCCUAAAAAGACAGAAAUGCCUUCAGGCACCAUGUUUCAGUUUUUC
Molecule: long non-coding RNA, 1793 nt
Filed under: Homo sapiens (human)
Lineage: Eukaryota; Metazoa; Chordata; Mammalia; Primates; Hominidae
Description: HSALNT0303131
Source: RNAcentral